RNAcentral lists this ribosomal RNA (440 nucleotides) under uncultured bacterium. RNAcentral describes it as "partial 16S ribosomal RNA". It matches the Rfam family "Bacterial small subunit ribosomal RNA", at positions 338 to 795 of the family's 1533-position model. The record is from RNAcentral.
CCUACGGGAGGCAGCAGUGGGGAAUAUUGCACAAUGGGGGAAACCCUGAUGCAGCGACGCCGCGUGAGUGAAGAAGUAAUUCGUUAUGUAAAGCUCUAUCAGCAGGGAAGAAAAUGACGGUACCUGAGUAAGAAGCCCCGGCUAACUACGUGCCAGCAGCCGCGGUACUACGUAGGGGGCAAGCGUUAUCCGGAUUUACUGGGUGUAAAGGGAGCGUAGACGGCAGUGCAAGUCUGGAGUGAAAGGCGGGGGCUCAACCCCCGGACUGCCCUGGAAACUGUACGGCUGGAGUGCAGGAGAGGUAAGUGGAAUUACUAGUGUAGCGGUGAAAUGCGUAGAUAUUAGGAGGAACACCAGUGGCGAAGGCGGCUUACUGGACUGUAACUGACGUUGAGGCUCGAAAGCGUGGGGAGCAAACAGGAUUAGAUACCCCAGUAGUC